This 698-nucleotide ribosomal RNA is filed under the name uncultured bacterium. RNAcentral describes it as "bacterial SSU rRNA". The stretch from base 1 to 512 matches the Rfam family "Bacterial small subunit ribosomal RNA", at positions 28 to 545 of the family's 1533-position model. The record is from RNAcentral.
GAUGAACGCUGGCGGCGUGCUUAACACAUGCAAGUCGAACGAAGCAAUUUCUUACGAUCCCUUCGGGGUGACGAGUUAUUGACUGAGUGGCGGACGGGUGAGUAACGCGUGGGUAACCUGCCUUGUACAGGGGGACAACAGUUGGAAACGACUGCUAAUACCGCAUAAGCGCACGGUGUCGCAUGACACAGUGUGAAAAGUUUUUUCGGUACAAGAUGGACCUCGCGUCUGAUUAGCUAGUUGGUGAGGUAACGGCUCACCAAGGCGACGAUCAGUAGCCGACCUGAGAGGGUGACCGGCCACAUUGGGACUGAGACACGGCCCAAACUCCUACGGGAGGCAGCAGUGGGGAAUAUUGCACAAUGGGCGCAAGCCUGAUGCAGCGACGCCGCGUGAGCGAAGAAGUAUUUCGGUAUGUAAAGCUCUAUCAGCAGGAAGAUAUGACGGUACCUGACUAGAGCACCGGCUAAAUACGUGCCAGCAGCCGCGGUAUACGUAUGGUGCAGCGUAUCCGGAUUACUGGGUGUAAGGGAGCGUAGCGUUUACAGUCUGAUGUGAAGCCCGGGCUCACUCCGAUGCUUGGAACUGUGACAUAAAGGCGCAGGGGGAGUGGGAUACUACUGUGCGGGAGCGCCAUUAAGAAACAUGGAGGGCUGGGAAUACCACUCACUGGGAGAAACGGCGCCAAAAAUGUGAUG